GGAUUUCUGAUCAUGCACAUAUCAUUGGUGGCUGGUAAUACCACAACCAUUGAGGCGUAUGAGAAGAAGACAACUCCAAAAUGGCGUUAUGAUCUUGGUCGAAAGAGGAAUUUUGAACAGGUUUUUGGCCUGGACAAGCAGCACUGGUUUAUCCCCUCUUACUCGGAAGAAGAUCUAAGAAGGAUGCCUGCUCUUCAUGGUCUUGAAUACCCAUCCAAGCCCGAACUCGAAUCCCAAGAAUUUUAGGUGUCAUCAAGUACAUUACCAAGCUGAGUAUGUUUUUUUGUAACAAUCAUAGAGUAGUAGUACCUACUGAUGCCCAUCCCGCGAUUGCAUCUGCUGGCGUUGUGCAGACACUACAUAAAGGAUAUAGCCAAUUGAUGUAUUGAUAAUGGGUUCUGUAAGAUAGAAGUUUUUCUUAUGUCUCAAGUCUGACAACAGGUUUUCUUGUAAGAUCAUCACAACUGUUUGAUUAGAAAUGUAGAUUUUAAUAUUUGAUUUCAGAGUUAAAAUG
Molecule: unclassified non-coding RNA, 514 nt
Filed under: Hevea brasiliensis (rubber tree)
Lineage: Eukaryota; Viridiplantae; Streptophyta; Magnoliopsida; Malpighiales; Euphorbiaceae
Source: RNAcentral